Molecule: non-coding RNA, 88 nt
Organism: Gossypium hirsutum (cotton)
Lineage: Eukaryota; Viridiplantae; Streptophyta; Magnoliopsida; Malvales; Malvaceae
Source: Rfam
CACGUCAGUGCAACCUGCUGACAUGUAAGGAAAAUCGCUCCCUCAAGGACACGAUUUCCUUCCACGUCAGCAGGUCGCGCUGACGUGG